GGGCCGUUAGCUCAGCGGUAGAGCAGUGGACUUUUAAUCCAUUGGUCGAUGGUUCGAUCCCAUCACGGCCCA
Transfer RNA from Dokdonella koreensis DS-123, 72 nucleotides. It matches the Rfam family "tRNA". From Rfam's summary of the family: Transfer RNA (tRNA) molecules are approximately 80 nucleotides in length. Their secondary structure includes four short double-helical elements and three loops (D, anti-codon, and T loops). The record is from Rfam. NCBI's taxonomy places the organism in Bacteria, Pseudomonadati, Pseudomonadota, Gammaproteobacteria, Lysobacterales, Rhodanobacteraceae.